Molecule: unclassified non-coding RNA, 22 nt
Filed under: Mus musculus (house mouse)
Lineage: Eukaryota; Metazoa; Chordata; Mammalia; Rodentia; Muridae
Description: oocyte_clustered_small_RNA4990
Source: RNAcentral
UAGAGGACGGUGGCACCCCAGU